UCCUUGUUAGCUCAGUUGGUAGAGCGUUCGGCUUUUAAGAAAUUUGUCUUAAACCAAGGAUACCGAAAUGUCAGGGGUUCGAGCCCCCUAUGAGGAG
Transfer RNA from Naumovozyma castellii, 97 nucleotides. It matches the Rfam family "tRNA". Rfam says of the family: Transfer RNA (tRNA) molecules are approximately 80 nucleotides in length. Their secondary structure includes four short double-helical elements and three loops (D, anti-codon, and T loops). The record is from Rfam. Lineage: Eukaryota; Fungi; Ascomycota; Saccharomycetes; Saccharomycetales; Saccharomycetaceae.